CCUACGGGAGGCAGCAGUGAGGAAUAUUGCACAAUGGGAGAGAUCCUGAUGCAGCAACGCCGCGUGAGCGAUGAAGGCCUUAGGGUCGUAAAGCCCUGUCCUCAGGGAAACUAAACCCGGGACUUGAGGAGGACUCCCCGGCUCACUAGGUGCCAGCAGCCGCGGUAAUACGUAGGCGGCUAGCGUUAUCCGGAUUUACUGGGCGUAAAGGGUGCGUAGGUGGUUUGUUAAGUCAGAGGUGAAAGGCUACGGCUCAACCGUAGUAAGCCUGUGAAACUGGCAGACUUGAGUGCAGGAGAGGAGCGCGGAAUUCCUGGUGUAGCGGUGAAAUGCGUAGAUAUUAGGAGGAACUCCAGUUGCGAAGGCGGCGCUCUGGACUGUAACUGACACUGAGGCACGAAAGCGUGGGGAGCAAACAGGAUUAGAUACCCGUGUAGUC
This 439-nucleotide ribosomal RNA is filed under the name uncultured bacterium. RNAcentral's name for it is "partial 16S ribosomal RNA". It matches the Rfam family "Bacterial small subunit ribosomal RNA", at positions 338 to 795 of the family's 1533-position model. The record is from RNAcentral.